Long non-coding RNA from Apis cerana (Asiatic honeybee), 3058 nucleotides. RefSeq lists it as uncharacterized. NCBI's taxonomy places the organism in Eukaryota, Metazoa, Arthropoda, Insecta, Hymenoptera, Apidae. The record is from RefSeq and is a predicted model, not a curated record.
AUCAAUGUAUGAAAUAUAAAUACUCGUUUAGAUUGUAACAGUUGAGAUAAAUUAUAAAUUCUUGCGGAACCUGUUGCCGCAUUAUGAGAACUCGCUAGAAUAAUUAAUAAUAAUUGACUUCUAAUGAUACUUUUUUACGAUAGUAUUUUAUUUUCCAUUCCUUGCCUCGCUUUUUAAUAACUUUCAACAAAAUAUUAUCAUCAAAUACAAAUAUUACAAAUAUUUUUUACUUCCUUCUCUUAAAAAAAAAUAUACUCUCGUAAAACGUUUAGUUACAAAUAAUUCUAUAUAAAUACACCGUAGAUGUAUCUUAUCCCCAUAUACAUUUUCUCGCAAUUUCAUCGUCUAAUAAUAAUAUUCGUAUCGAAAAAAAUUGUUUACCGAGAAAAACUUCUGCUUUUCGGUCGCAAGAUCGGGGGCCAAUCGUUUAUCUCUUCGUUCCACGUUCCUUCGUUGAUAAACAAGCGGUUAUAAAGCCCAUUACAGCCAUAUUUCGCGCAACAAAGUCGUACACGCGUAUCGAGGCCACCCGAUUUAUCGAGUGCUCUCCUUCGAGUGUAACGCGAAACCGUAUCACGGGCAAUUACUUGAUGAGUCUAUAACGCCUUGUAAUUAACCCGUACCGUGUGCCCGAUCGUGUGACUGAUUAAUUGCGAAUUUCUUUAUUAUUUCGACGUUCAUUGAAGACGGAAUCGAUGGCUCCUGUUUUAUGCGAGUGAGAUUUAUGAUCCGCUUCGAGGGGGAAAAAAAGAAAAGAAUUUUUUCUUCGUUGAUGGAAAGCACGAUAUUAAAAUACGAAUAGAGAAAAUUGAAGUUUGCGAAAAGUAGAACGAGUUAUGUGGAAUUUUUUUAAUUAACAGUUGAUGGUAUAAACUUGGUUAUGUAUAAUAUAUACUCGUGCAAGGAAAUAUUAAGAACCCUACAAUAAAUAAAUAACGAGAAUCAAACCUUAAAAAGAGGUAGAAAUCCGUCAUUUUUCAUCCUUUAAUUAUUACGAAACGUUAAAUUUCUGGCGCCAGCCGAUCAAAAGUCGCCGCAAUCGUCACCGUCACUGUCAAAUCUCCACAUUUGAAUAAUCCAAACGCUUGCCCACGCACAAGGAAGUCAUUAGGAUUUCAUGGCGCCUCUCUCAAUCAUCGAUCCUAAAUGCCUUCGGUCUAGUAAGCGAAUCCGUUACUUUCCUAAGAAGAAAUCGAAACGGCCGGUUCGCGUGUUCGCGUUCGAUCCAGCUCGUUCGUUUGGUUCGUGACCUCGCGAUUAUCCAAUACCGUAGAAAGAAUGUAACACGUAAACGAUUUCAUCUCUGCUGCGUGUUUAACGGGCGAGAAGCGAGGGUGGUGCGAUCGUAUCUACUCUCGGUUCUCGUUUCGUGAAACGAAAAUAGAUGGACCGAGGAGAGGUGUUCCGUCGCUUCGACGGUGUUCGACGAUUCCUUCCCCCAUUCGUUCCUCGACACACUUCGAGCGACCUUUGCGAUGCCUGGGCGAAAGGUCAUGCGACCCCUUCGUUCGAUCACGUUUUUUUCCUUUUCGUUUUGAUCGAUGCCUCGUUCCAGCGUGGGCGUUGACAUUGACUGCUGCGGUUUCCACCAGGAAUGUUUGCACAGAGGAGGUUUGGGUGUCGAUAAAUCGCGGAUGUUUGCGAGGAUGGAGGUGUUUCGUAAUGCGCAACUUUGAAAAUUUUCUUAUUCCUUCCUCGAUUUGUUAUUUCUCACAGAAAAAUAACGACAAAUGUUCUCGUAUGAGAUAUAAUUUUGUAUAAUUUAUAGAUUGUUUUUCUGGUAUAGGCAUAUAUUUAUUAAUUAGUAUUAUUUUAUUUAUUCUUCGUUGUGAGGGAAUAAUGAAUAAAUUUGAUGAGAGUUACUUGGCACGAAUCGAAAACUACCCAAAUAUAUGAUUUAAUCGAGCCUAAUUAGAGAAUUCAUCGAAUCUAGAUCCUCUUGAGUAAUAGAAUUCGUGAUAUUCAUGAUAUAUUUUUAUUUGGAAUUUAUUUUUUGUAGUUUGAAUUUUUUUGUGAGUCUUGACUUUGAGUGACUCAACUUCUUUGUACAAAAUCCUUCAAAAGAUGCAAUGAAUCGAUUUUAGAUAUAUCAUAUUACUUUAUCCAUCAAGGGAGAAGAGGAUUAUAUUAAAUGGAAAAUUUGUUUCAUUUAAAAAAUAAAUAGAGCGUAGCUAAAAGUUGCUUUCCUGUUUGACUAUAUAAAGCACGGUUGCUCACCUUACGUAAAUUAUAUAGAACUGGAGUGUGGGAGGACUGAAACAUUUAUUACGGUGUCCCCGAGUACGAAAUUACGCCACUGUGCAUUGUGUAAGCAUUGCUGGGCAUACGCAUGCUAGUUAAACUUUCGCUGGCGAAACAUUGGAAAAAAAAAAAGAAAAGAAAAAGAAAAGAAAAAAACAGAAAGAAAAGAAAAAAAAAAGAAACUGACCCUUACCUUUUUUUCGCGAUACGCCGACUCUUGUCUCUGAACACAGGCAGCUCGAAGGAUUUGCAAAUUUGCGAACUUCCAGUGUAUUUGCAUAUAUUUAAUCUUCGAUUGACUGCAUUAUGAUCGGGUCAUUUCAGACAUCUUGAACGAAACAAUUCUGUUACAAGUAUAUUUUAACUCUGUUACGAUCUUCGAAUUCUUUUUUUCUUUUUUUAUUCAGUCUCGAUCUUGUCCCGAGAGAAGAAAAAAAAAUUGCUUAUGCUUUCGAUAAAAACUUCCAUAUUAUCCGUAAUUUUGUAAAAUGUAUAAUUGACAAUUGGUUCGAAAAUAUAUUUUGAGGGGACUCAAUCAUCCACUUCCGCCAUCCAAGGAUUAAUUAUAAAUCGUGUGUAUCGUAUCGAAAUUUUGAAAAAAAAAUUCGAAUAACGGCUUUGGCCUUGAUUUCGAAAAUUAACUAAAAAAUUAAAUCGAUUGUAAUUAAACUAAAUAUCGCAUUGAUGGCAAGUCAAUUAGUAUAUAUGAUCGUAUGAGAGCUUUUUGAUACGGAUAUUAAAUUAUAAUAAUAAAACCUAAUUGGCUAUAGUCGCCACUCAAUACAUGUUUAUAAAUAUAUAUAUAUAUAUAUAUAUA